RNAcentral lists this ribosomal RNA (642 nucleotides) under Triticum aestivum (bread wheat). Its description in RNAcentral is "partial small subunit ribosomal RNA". Lineage: Eukaryota; Viridiplantae; Streptophyta; Magnoliopsida; Poales; Poaceae. The record is from RNAcentral.
AUGUACUUGAUCUCAACUGUCUUUGCGCCUACCACAUCUCUUCGCUCAAGCAACAAGUGCUUCCCCAUCCUGGCGAAGCUGAAAGACGUGAAGAAUAUGAAUUUGUGUAAAUUCAUCGUGGACUUCCUGCAUGAUGCAUUCUCAAACAAGAUGUACCAGAAGGGAUGUCGACUCCAUUUAAUGCUCAUGUACGUCGAUCGUCUUGAUCUGUCCACCGUUGACUUUACUGGGAUAGGAGGCCCGCCACCGCCACAUAAGUUUGUUGUCUCUGCGUGGACGUACGAUGCUGUCAACGCUGUGCUUGCCGCAGACAAGAUAACUGAUAAGAAAUAUGGAAAACUGCAGCUGAUGGCCAAGCAUGCUAUAGACUACAGCGUGUUUGGUGGGCCUCAAAACUUUGGCAAGUGGAUGGACGUGCACUCAGCUCCGUCUUGUCCUGCUGAGGCGAGGGCACCUGUUGAGCAUCUAAUUGGGCAGUUUGCUUCCGGAAUGACCAGCUUGCUCGGGAAGUUGGUUGAGGGUUGGACGUCCCUUAAUGGCUCUGACAGCGACGCGGUCGCGAGGCAAUUCACUCCAUUCGUUGCAGAACGGACACACCGGCCAACUGGUUGCCGUGGCCGGUAUGACUACAACAGCUCCUAG